GACGAACGCUGGCGGCGUGCUUAACACAUGCAAGUCGAACGGAAAGGCCCUGCUUUUGUGGGGUGCUCGAUUGGCGAACGGGUGAGUAACACGUGAGUAACCUGCCCUUGACUUUGGGAUAACUUCAGGAAACUGGGGCUAAUACCGGAUAGGAGCUCCUGCUGCAUGGUGGGGGUUGGAAAGUUUCGGCGGUUGGGGAUGGACUCGCGGCUUAUCAGCUUGUUGGUGGGGUAGUGGCUUACCAAGGCUUUGACGGGUAGCCGGCCUGAGAGGGUGACCGGCCACCUUGGGACUGAGAUACGGCCCAGACUCCUACGGGAGGCAGCAGUGGGGAAUAUUGCACAGUGGGCGGAAGCCUGAUGCAGCAGCGCCGCGUGCGGGAUGCCGGCCUUCGAGUUGUGAACCGAUUUCGCAUGUGACGAAGCGUGAGUGACGGUAAUGGGUAAAGAAGCACCGGCUAACUACGUG
This 468-nucleotide ribosomal RNA is filed under the name uncultured bacterium. RNAcentral's name for it is "partial 16S ribosomal RNA". It matches the Rfam family "Bacterial small subunit ribosomal RNA", at positions 28 to 507 of the family's 1533-position model. The record is from RNAcentral.